This 73-nucleotide transfer RNA is filed under the name Bos taurus (domestic cattle). It matches the Rfam family "tRNA". Rfam says of the family: Transfer RNA (tRNA) molecules are approximately 80 nucleotides in length. Their secondary structure includes four short double-helical elements and three loops (D, anti-codon, and T loops). Lineage: Eukaryota; Metazoa; Chordata; Mammalia; Artiodactyla; Bovidae. The record is from Rfam by way of RNAcentral.
UCCCUGGUGGUCCAGGGCUUUGGACUCUGCACUUCCACUGCAGGGGGCACGGGUUCAAUCCCUGGUCGGAGAA